UACGUAGGGUGCGAGCGUUAAUCGGAAUUACUGGGCGUAAAGCGUGCGCAGGUGGUCAUGUAAGACAGAUGUGAAAUCCCCGGGCUUAACCUGGGAAUUGCAUUUGUGACUGCAUGGCUAGAGUGUGGCAGAGGGGGAUGGAAUUCCGCGUGUAGCAGUGAAAUGCGUAGAUAUGCGGAGGAACACCGAUGGCGAAGGCAGUCCCCUGGGCCUGCACUGACACUCAAGCACGAAAGCGUGGGGAGCAAACAGGAUUAGAUACCCUGGUAGUCCACGCCCUAAACGAUGUCGACUGGUUGUUGGGAGGGUUCCCUCUCAGUAACGAAGCUAACGCGUGAAGUCGACCGCCUGGGGAGUACGGCCGCAAGGUUGAA
Molecule: ribosomal RNA, 374 nt
Filed under: uncultured bacterium
Lineage: Bacteria
Description: bacterial SSU rRNA
Rfam family: Bacterial small subunit ribosomal RNA
Source: RNAcentral